This is a long non-coding RNA of Prunus dulcis (almond), 521 nucleotides long. RefSeq lists it as uncharacterized. Lineage: Eukaryota; Viridiplantae; Streptophyta; Magnoliopsida; Rosales; Rosaceae. The transcript has 2 exons. The record is from RefSeq and is a predicted model, not a curated record.
GGCAAUAAGAUAUUUUGGGAGCACUCAGAACACAAGUGAAAUCCACUAUAAAAGAUGGCUACCACAUACCAACUAGCUCUUGAUAUAGUGGGAACUCAAGCAAAUUUCUUCCCGGCUAUCAAACAGGCCACGAUAGACCUUGAAUCCAAACUGGACCUCAAAAGAACCUCACACAUUUUUCUGAGAAGUGACUGCAAUCAAGCCUUGUUUCUGCCUUAGCUUGUUGAAAUUUUUUAGAUCAAAGUUCAUCUUGAAUUUCGCUGUGAUUGUUGACUAUAAUGGCAGAUGGAUUGAACCAUUACUUUCAUUACAUUUGUCAUGUAGGAUGCAUUUUGGUGAUUUUUGUUUCCUUUAUAGGUUUAAUAUGUUUGAUUAUAUCUCUUCAUCUUUCCCCAUCUCUUUCUUUCUAUAGUUUGGAUUUUUGGGAACAGAGAUUCUCUUUUUUGAAUGCUUUGAAUUUUGAAGCCUGAUAUGUAUGGCUUAGGCCCUAUGUGUGAUCUGAACUAUUUUUGCUUUUUGGU